RNAcentral lists this ribosomal RNA (253 nucleotides) under uncultured bacterium. RNAcentral's name for it is "partial 16S ribosomal RNA". It matches the Rfam family "Bacterial small subunit ribosomal RNA", at positions 524 to 776 of the family's 1533-position model. The record is from RNAcentral.
UACGUAGGGUGCGAGCGUUGUCCGGAAUUAUUGGGCGUAAAGAGCUCGUAGGCGGUCUGUCGCGUCGAAUGUGAAAACCCGGGGCUCAACUCCGGGCUUGCAUUCGAUACGGGCAGGCUAGAGUUCGGUAGGGGAGUCUGGAAUUCCUGGUGUAGCGGUGAAAUGCGCAGAUAUCAGGAGGAACACCGGUGGCGAAGGCGGGACUCUGGGCCGACACUGACGCUGAGGAGCGAAAGCGUGGGGAGCGAACAGG